AGGAAUCCUCCCAACACCCAGACCCUUACUGAGUAACUCCUAUGGUUCCUCAUUGGGUCCUUUACUAUCAUACUUCCGCGGACCACUUCCUCCGCACCCCUUCUUGGCUCCAGCCGACCUCUACUGGAGUAACACGCCACACCCCUUGCCUGCCCCUAGCGGAGAAGCAACGACUCCUCCGAUUGGUAGCUUUGAGAGAAGGAACUGGGCAUGCGUGGCCCAACCCUCACGCCUGUAGAGGCUGUCUGGACUCCUCUAUGCCUGUAAGAUAUUCUCACUCUAAACCAGGGGCAAGAACAGAACAUCAGAAGUUGUUGGACCUCAGCCCAUUGUUGGCCUCAGCAGAUUUCUUUAAGACUGUCACAUUGCCUAAGGAAAAUGCAAUAUAUAGAAAGGCUCAGCAGAAAUCACACCCCUAACAGCUCUUCCUCUCUUUGGCAAUUCCUUGAAAUCCUAAAAAAAUGUUCUUUGAAAAUAAGGGACGGACUGAUAUAAAUAAGACCUCUAAUCUUGUUUGUUUAGGAGGAUGUUCAGGAAAGAGGUAAAGUGCAAAGGCAUCGCAAGGGUCAACAGUUGAUGUUUACACUAGACAUUUCCUUUUCUUUCUUGUUUGUGGCUUCAGUCUGGGGAAAGAAAUUCUUGGAAAUGAAUGUAACUCUAUUUCAUCACAUUGGACUAGAACUUCAAGGAGGUACCAAUACUGUUUCACCCAUUGCCUGAGAGGCCAAGGAGGAAAAGAAAAAAAGGAGUCAGACUCCCACAAAACAAUAAGAAAAAAAAAACCCAGAAGAAAAAUGGCUAAAGGCUAUGACCAAACCAUUCACAGAAGAACCUGAACAUUCAACAAACAGUGGAAAGAGGCUCAACUACACAAGCAAUCAGGGAAAUGCAAAGUAAAAUGAAAACAGAUGCCAUUUCUUGCCCAUCAGGGUGGCAAUUAAAGUAUGAUAAUAUCAAUAUUGGCAGGUGAAUAGACAAAUGAGACUCUUAGUCACAACUUCAAAUUGAUAUAUACUGGCACAGCAUUUUAAAGGGUAGUUUCAUGCGAUCCAUUAAAAUUUGAAAUGUGCAUAUCCCAUAAUCCAGCAGUAAUACUUCUUGGUGUUCACUGCAGCAAGACUCACAUGGUUCCAAUUAAAUAGGUUUGUUUCAUGUAAUUUGUAACAAUGAAAAUAACCUAAAUGUCCAUUGACCAGGGAAUGGCUAAAUAACUAUGAUAUAUCUACAGUAUCUUAAAUUACGCCAGAGUUAUAAG
RNAcentral lists this long non-coding RNA (1255 nucleotides) under Mustela putorius furo (domestic ferret). RNAcentral describes it as "lncRNA (ENSMPUG00000026064.1)". Lineage: Eukaryota; Metazoa; Chordata; Mammalia; Carnivora; Mustelidae. The record is from RNAcentral.